GGGAGACACACGGCGGGUGCUAACGUCCGUCGUGAAGAGGGAAACAACCCAGACCGCCAGCUAAGGUCCCAAAGUCAUGGUUAAGUGGGAAACGAUGUGGGAAGGCCCAGACAGCCAGGAUGUUGGCUUAGAAGCAGCCAUCAUUUAAAGAAAGCGUAAUAGCUCACUGGUCGAGUCGGCCUGCGCGGAAGAUGUAACGGGGCUAAACCAUGCACCGAAGCUGCGGCAGCGACACUAUGUGUUGUUGGGUAGGGGAGCGUUCUGUAAGCCUGUGAAGGUGUACUGUGAGGUAUGCUGGAGGUAUCAGAAGUGCGAAUGCUGACAUAAGUAACGAUAAAGCGGGUGAAAAGCCCGCUCGCCGGAAGACCAAGGGUUCCUGUCCAACGUUAAUCGGGGCAGGGUGAGUCGACCCCUAAGGCGAGGCCGAAAGGCGUAGUCGAUGGGAAACAGGUUAAUAUUCCUGUACUUGGUGUUACUGCGAAGGGGGGACGGAGAAGGCUAUGUUGGCCGGGCGACGGUUGUCCCGGUUUAAGCGUGUAGGCUGGUUUUCCAGGCAAAUCCGGAAAAUCAAGGCUGAGGCGUGAUGACGAGGCACUACGGUGCUGAAGCAACAAAUGCCCUGCUUCCAGGAAAAGCCUCUAAGCAUCAGGUAACAUCAAAUCGUACCCCAAACCGACACAGGUGGUCAGGUAGAGAAUACCAAGGCGCUUGAGAGAACUCGGGUGAAGGAACUAGGCAAAAUGGUGCCGUAACUUCGGGAGAAGG
RNAcentral lists this ribosomal RNA (765 nucleotides) under Escherichia coli. RNAcentral's name for it is "partial 23S ribosomal RNA". It matches the Rfam family "Bacterial large subunit ribosomal RNA", at positions 979 to 1746 of the family's 2925-position model. Lineage: Bacteria; Pseudomonadati; Pseudomonadota; Gammaproteobacteria; Enterobacterales; Enterobacteriaceae. The record is from RNAcentral.